UUUGAUGCAUCCUGGCAGGCAAGUGCAACAUCCAGCAACAGAAGGCAAACAUGGAGAGCAGUUGUCUCAUCAAUAGGCUCAAUAUUGUGAUACAAAGGUUCUAGAACUGACAAUGCUUUUGUAUAUUCAUGAAGAUGAAAACAGAUAAUUGCAAUGUUUAAUGUUGCAACUGCCGGAUCAAAUUCAUCCAUGUAAACCAGUGUUGCACCAUUUGUAGCAGAAAAUUGAUGUGCUGUUGUAGCACUUCCUUUAGAGCCAGAAAUAACUUUAUUUCCAGUAUUGCUCCCAGCAUCAACCUGCUCCCCUGAAGCCUGAGCAAGCUGCUCACUUUUCUCCUUCACAUUAUUAAGUACUUCAAGCAACUUCCUUGGAUCCGAACAACCAUCACGAAAGUAUUCCGCAAUUGCAAUAUUAUGAAGCACUUUGGGAUCGUCUUCUUUCUUUAACUUGAGCUGGUACAAAACAGCCAGGCACUCCGUGAAACGGCGAGACUGGAAAUGCAAGGCCG
RNAcentral lists this unclassified non-coding RNA (508 nucleotides) under Hevea brasiliensis (rubber tree). Lineage: Eukaryota; Viridiplantae; Streptophyta; Magnoliopsida; Malpighiales; Euphorbiaceae. The record is from RNAcentral.